Molecule: long non-coding RNA, 283 nt
Filed under: Phaseolus vulgaris (common bean)
Lineage: Eukaryota; Viridiplantae; Streptophyta; Magnoliopsida; Fabales; Fabaceae
Description: long non-coding RNA (PVUL_LNC002742)
Source: RNAcentral
CCCAUCAAUUUCUAUUGCAGUGCUACUUACACUAAAAGAAAUAGAGAAAAUAAACUAAUUGUGGAAAAGAUGGUUAUGAACUUGAGUAAAAAUAACAUUAAUAUAUUGUACUAUUAGAUCAUUUUUUGUUAACCUUACUACAUAAUUUAAAUCAAACGGGACCAUUCAACAGUAGCCGAUAAUAUAAAAAGAGUACACUUCUUUUAAAUGAUUUAAAGUGAUUUAUUAUUGCGAAAGAAGAUUUAUUAUUGAUCACUCUGGAUUCAUAUAAGAAUUUUAAAAU